GAUGAACGCUGGCGGCGUGCCUAAUACAUGCAAGUCGAGCGAACGGACGAGAAGCUUGCUUCUCUGAUGUUAGCGGCGGACGGGUGAGUAACACGUGGAUAACCUACCUAUAAGACUGGGAUAACUUCGGGAAACCGGAGCUAAUACCGGAUAAUAUUUUGAACCGCAUGGUUCAAAAGUGAAAGACGGUCUUGCUGUCACUUAUAGAUGGAUCCGCGCUGCAUUAGCUAGUUGGUAAGGUAACGGCUUACCAAGGCAACGAUGCAUAGCCGACCUGAGAGGGUGAUCGGCCACACUGGAACUGAGACACGGUCCAGACUCCUACGGGAGGCAGCAGUAGGGAAUCUUCCGCAAUGGGCGAAAGCCUGACGGAGCAACACCGCGUGAGUGAUGAAGGUCUUCGGAUCGUAAAACUCUGUUAUUAGGGAAGAACAUAUGUGUAAGUAACUGUGCACAUCUUGACGGUACCUAAUCAGAAAGCCACGGCUAACUACGUGCCAGCAGCCGCGGUAAUACGUAGGUGGCAAGCGUUAUCCGGAAUUAUUGGGCGUAAAGCGCGCGUAGGCGGUUUUUUAAGUCUGAUGUGAAAGCCCACGGCUCAACCGUGGAGGGUCAUUGGAAACUGGAAAACUUGAGUGCAGAAGAGGAAAGUGGAAUUCCAUGUGUAGCGGUGAAAUGCGCAGAGAUAUGGAGGAACACCAGUGGCGAAGGCGACUUUCUGGUCUGUAACUGACGCUGAUGUGCGAAAGCGUGGGGAUCAAACAGGAUUAGAUACCCUGGUAGUCCGCGCCGUAAACGAUGAGUGCUAAGUGUUAGGGGGUUUCCGCCCCUUAGUGCUGCAGCUAACGCAUUAAGCACUCCGCCUGGGGAGUACGACCGCAAGGUUGAAACUCAAAGGAAUUGACGGGGACCCGCACAAGCGGUGGAGCAUGUGGUUUAAUUCGAAGCAACGCGAAGAACCUUACCAAAUCUUGACAUCCUUUGACAACUCUAGAGAUAGAGCUUUCCCCUUCGGGGGACAAAGUGACAGGUGGUGCAUGGUUGUCGUCAGCUCGUGUCGUGAGAUGUUGGGUUAAGUCCCGCAACGAGCGCAACCCUUAAGCUUAGUUGCCAUCAUUAAGUUGGGCACUCUAAGUUGACUGCCGGUGACAAACCGGAGGAAGGUGGGGAUGACGUCAAAUCAUCAUGCCCCUUAUGAUUUGGGCUACACACGUGCUACAAUGGACAAUACAAAGGGCAGCGAAACCGUGAGGUCAAGCAAAUCCCAUAAAGUUGUUCUCAGUUCGGAUUGUAGUCUGCAACUCGACUACAUGAAGCUGGAAUCGCUAGUAAUCGUAGAUCAGCAUGCUACGGUGAAUACGUUCCCGGGUCU
This 1372-nucleotide ribosomal RNA is filed under the name uncultured bacterium. RNAcentral describes it as "bacterial SSU rRNA". It matches the Rfam family "Bacterial small subunit ribosomal RNA", at positions 28 to 1381 of the family's 1533-position model. The record is from RNAcentral.